This 240-nucleotide unclassified non-coding RNA is filed under the name soil metagenome. Its description in RNAcentral is "partial contains 5.8S ribosomal RNA, internal transcribed spacer 2, and large subunit ribosomal RNA". The record is from RNAcentral.
AACGGUCUAUACCUGCGGUACCUGCGGAAGGAUCAUUACCGAGUUAGGGUUCCUCUCACGGGCCCGACCUCCCAACCCUGUGUCUAUCACACCUUGUCGUUGCUUCGGCGGACCGGUUUGACUCCGGUCGCGACCGCCGGGGGUGCUUCACCCCGGGAGAGCGUCCGCCGAUGGCCCAACCACAAAACUUCUUUGUACCAAAACCGGUCGUCUAAAUCAAACUUGAUCAUAAUCAAAAAA